CGGCGCGCAGGCCGGCGGUGUCGCGCCCCUUGCGGGGGCGCCCCUGCCCGGGACCCGGGCGGGUGCGGGUUUCCUGUCGCGCCGGC
RNAcentral lists this transfer RNA (86 nucleotides) under Methylobacterium isbiliense. RNAcentral describes it as "tRNA-Ala". The record is from RNAcentral. Lineage: Bacteria; Pseudomonadati; Pseudomonadota; Alphaproteobacteria; Hyphomicrobiales; Methylobacteriaceae.